This is a small nucleolar RNA of Mus pahari (shrew mouse), 125 nucleotides long. RefSeq annotates it as small nucleolar RNA SNORA40. The transcript has a single exon. The record is from RefSeq and is a predicted model, not a curated record. Lineage: Eukaryota; Metazoa; Chordata; Mammalia; Rodentia; Muridae.
AGGGCUGAGGUGUGGCUCUGAUGAACUUGUGGACAGAGAUUUAAAACAGGUGGGAAAUAAGUUCUCUUUUUUGACCUAGACCUCAUUGUUCAGUGUGGGUUUUGAUAAACAUAGAAAGGAAUAUG